GGGUUGUGAGGUUAAGCGACUAAGCGUACACGGUGGAUGCCCUGGCAGUCAGAGGCGAUGAAGGACGUGCUAAUCUGCGAUAAGCGCCGGUAAGGUGAUAUGAACCGUUAUAACCGGCGAUUUCCGAAUGGGGAAACCCAGUGUGACUCGUCACACUAUCAUUAACUGAAUCCAUAGGUUAAUGAGGCGAACCGGGGGAACUGAAACAUCUAAGUACCCCGAGGAAAAGAAAUCAACCGAGAUUCCCCCAGUAGCGGCGAGCGAACGGGGAGGAGCCCAGAGCCUGAAUCAGCAUGUGUGUUAGUGGAAGCGUCUGGAAAGGCGCGCGAUACAGGGUGACAGCCCCGUACACAAAAGCGCAUGUGCUGUGAGCUCGAUGAGUAGGGCGGGACACGUGGUAUCCUGUCUGAAUAUGGGGGGACCAUCCUCCAAGGCUAAAUACUCCUGACUGACCGAUAGUGAACCAGUACCGUGAGGGAAAGGCGAAAAGAACCCCGGCGAGGGGAGUGAAAAAGAACCUGAAACCGUGUACGUACAAGCAGUGGGAGCACCCUUUGGGGUGUGACUGCGUACCUUUUGUAUAAUGGGUCAGCGACUUAUAUUCUGUAGCAAGGUUAACCGAAUAGGGGAGCCGGAGGGAAACCGAGUCUUAAUUGGGCGUUAAGUUGCAGGGUAUAGACCCGAAACCCGGUGAUCUAGCCAUGGGCAGGUUGAAGGUUGGGUAACACUAACUGGAGGACCGAACCGACUAAUGUUGAAAAAUUAGCGGAUGACCUGUGGCUGGGGGUGAAAGGCCAAUCAAACCGGGAGAUAGCUGGUUCUCCCCGAAAGCUAUUUAGGUAGCGCCUCGUGAACUCAUCUCCGGGGGUAGAGCACUGUUUCGGCUAGGGGGCCAUCCCGGCUUACCAACCCGAUGCAAACUGCGAAUACCGGAGAAUGUUAUCACGGGAGACACACGGCGGGUGCUAACGUCCGUCGUGAAGAGGGAAACAACCCAGACCGCCAGCUAAGGUCCCAAAGUCAUGGUUAAGUGGGAAACGAUGUGGGAAGGCCCAGACAGCCAGGAUGUUGGCUUAGAAGCAGCCAUCAUUUAAAGAAAGCGUAAUAGCUCACUGGUCGAGUCGGCCUGCGCGGAAGAUGUAACGGGGCUAAACCAUGCACCGAAGCUGCGGCAGCGACACUCAGGUGUUGUUGGGUAGGGGAGCGUUCUGUAAGCCUGCGAAGGUGGCCUGUGAGGGUUGCUGGAGGUAUCAGAAGUGCGAAUGCUGACAUAAGUAACGAUAAAGCGGGUGAAAAGCCCGCUCGCCGGAAGACCAAGGGUUCCUGUCCAACGUUAAUCGGGGCAGGGUGAGUCGACCCCUAAGGCGAGGCCGAAAGGCGUAGUCGAUGGGAAACGGGUUAAUAUUCCCGUACUUGGUGUUACUGCGAAGGGGGGACGGAGAAGGCUAUGUUGGCCGGGCGACGGUUGUCCCGGUUUAAGCGUGUAGGUGUGUGUUCCAGGUAAAUCCGGUUCACUUUAACACUGAGGCGUGAUGACGAGGCACUACGGUGCUGAAGCAACAAAUGCCCUGCUUCCAGGAAAAGCCUCUAAGCAUCAGGUAACAUCAAAUCGUACCCCAAACCGACACAGGUGGUCAGGUAGAGAAUACCAAGGCGCUUGAGAGAACUCGGGUGAAGGAACUAGGCAAAAUGGUGCCGUAACUUCGGGAGAAGGCACGCUGACAC
RNAcentral lists this ribosomal RNA (1725 nucleotides) under Salmonella enterica subsp. enterica serovar Javiana. Its description in RNAcentral is "partial 23S ribosomal RNA". It matches the Rfam family "Bacterial large subunit ribosomal RNA", at positions 1 to 1757 of the family's 2925-position model. Lineage: Bacteria; Pseudomonadati; Pseudomonadota; Gammaproteobacteria; Enterobacterales; Enterobacteriaceae. The record is from RNAcentral.